CUUGGGCCUGAGCUCUCAGUCUACUCUCCUCCUUUCUUUCUGUGUAGGCAGGUGAUGCGGGGAAAUAAAACUUCUAAAAGGACCUCUCGCUAUGAAGUGUGUCCAUGUGGAAGGACAAGAGAUAAUCAAGUACAAGCUUAGCCACUGAGGCCUGAGGCUGUAAGGCCAAGCGUAUUCGAGUCUCCGUAAGGAUUCCCCCAAGGUCAGCACACAACAGAGGUGCUGGCUGAGGAGCGGACAGACAGUGCCAAACCCAAAAAGGGAGAAAGAAGGACCUACAGCAUAAAAGCAAUGUCAAUGGCUUUACAAUGGAAAGAGGACUUUACAUCUGCACUGAGAAUCCCACUUUGGAAAUCUGUCAGCCCAACUGGUGUCCUGUUCCUCCCUGGGAAGAGAGAGAAGAGGAGAAGUACAAGCACAAAAUGAAGGCGGGAACUCUAGUGCUUCAAGGGGUUCUGCAAAUCACAGCAAAAGAGAAAACUCAUCCAAUUAAUGGCACCAGUGAGCUCUUACUUUGAUUAGCAGAAAAUAAAAUGG
Long non-coding RNA from Hipposideros armiger (great roundleaf bat), 537 nucleotides. RefSeq lists it as uncharacterized. Lineage: Eukaryota; Metazoa; Chordata; Mammalia; Chiroptera; Hipposideridae. The record is from RefSeq and is a predicted model, not a curated record. The transcript has 3 exons.